Protobothrops mucrosquamatus (brown spotted pit viper) is the source of this 1292-nucleotide non-coding RNA. The record is from the annotation of a RefSeq genome assembly. NCBI's taxonomy places the organism in Eukaryota, Metazoa, Chordata, Lepidosauria, Squamata, Viperidae.
AUGAUUCGAGGCUUUUCCCCACCUGAGAAUGAUGUCCAGUGGCUAAAGAAUGGCAAUCCCAUUUCAGAAGAUGACUACGUCAACACCCCAGCCGUGAAAGAAAAGAGGGAUGAGUCCUUCUUCCGCUAUAGCAAAUUGACAAUCUCUGAUUCGGAAUGGUAUAGCGGCGCAGAAUUCAUCUGUAUGGUUGUCCAUGAGGCCCUUGAUGACAGGUUCACCCAGAGGAGCAUAGCAAAAACAUCGGACAUUUCACUUCUCAUCCAAGAAGCUUCUUCAGUUNAGGGUUUCUACCCCAAUGAGAUUAAUGUUGAGUGGCUGGUGGGCAGCCACCAUGGAUUGCUGGCUCCCUACACCGAACCUCCCAGGCGUGAUGUAAAUAAGUACACUUUCAGUACUGUUAGCAGGGUCAACAUCACCCAAGCAGAUUGGUUGGAAGGAAACACUUACUACUGCCAGGUAACCCAUGCGGCCUCACAAACACAGGUGAAAGGCAGAGCCAGGAAAUGUGAAGAUGCCAGCAGUCACUUCUCCACUGGGGUUACUGCCUACCUUCUGCCCCCACGGCCAAAAGACUUGUACAUAAACAGAAAUGCCAGGCUCCUUUGUGUGGUUGUCAAUCUGCAACAGGAAGAGGGGUUGAAAAUAAGCUGGUCACGUGAGAAGAAAGUUGCCAUGCAUCCAGAAUUAGUGGUGGUGACUGAAGAAAACAAUGGAACCUUCACUGCUGUUGGCCGUUACCCUCUCUCUGCCCUUGAUUGGGAAUCAGGAGAGACGUUCACCUGCUCAGUCGAAUAUCCAGGUUUGCCUGGUCCCAUCGUGAAUACAAUUUCCAAGAGCCCAGAAAAGAGCAAGGCACCAUCCAUCCACAUCUACCCUCCCAUCCCUGGCAAUUCACUUAUCGUCACCUGCUUCGUUCGAGGCUUUUCCUCAAAUAUUAUUGAUAUCCAGUGGCUAAAGAAUGGCAAUCCCAUUCCAGAAGAUGACUACGUCAACACCCCAGCUGUGAAAGAAAAGAGGGAUGAGUCCUUCUUCCUCUAUAGCAAAUUGACAAUCUCUCAACCGGAAUGGCGUGACAGAAACAUAUUCAGCUGUAUGGUUGUCCAUGAGGCCCUUAAUGACAGGUUCACCCAGAGGAGCAUCGCAAAAACAUCGGGUAAACGUUGAAGACUCCCCUCAACAGGCAUUGUCCUCCUAGAUUUGACUCUCACGGUGUUUGAUCCAAAUUCUUGUAAAUAGUUUACAUGCCAAUGUGUUUUGCUGCUAGCUAAAUAAAAGCAUCCCAAUUCAGAGGA